Molecule: long non-coding RNA, 837 nt
Filed under: Vigna radiata
Lineage: Eukaryota; Viridiplantae; Streptophyta; Magnoliopsida; Fabales; Fabaceae
Description: long non-coding RNA (VRAD_LNC015289)
Source: RNAcentral
CUUGGGUGUGUGUUUUCGGUGUGAGGAAGAAGAAAGAGCUGGAAGAGUGUGUUGGAGAGUAAGAAAACCGAAAUGGACAAGGAAAAGAAGAGAGAGGAGUGCAUUUAAGUUUUUACCACUUUUGGGAAAACAAAAAAAGAUGCUUCUUGUCAUCUUAGGAAUGUUUCCCUUUUAAGCUUUGCUUUUGUCUCCUGUUAGCUUGUAAUAUGCAGAGAAUCACAAGAGAAUGGAUGUGUUUUGUAGUUUGUUUUCCUUGCUUUGACUUUGCUUACAUGGCACAUUUGUUAGACCAUCAAAGUAUCUUCCAUUUACCCAUUGGUUUAAAGCACUUUUUGUAGCCAUUUCUCUCUAGCUCACGUAAGUUUGGUGCCUUGGUGUGUGGGAGUCCGAAUUUUUCUGCAUGGGAAGAGAUUAAGGCAUGGUUUUAUAGUGUUUGGAAGGCACAUGCUUAUUUCUUUGGAAAAUGGUGCACAUGGGAUAAAAAGUCAACACAUUUUGUAGCUUAUUGAAGGUGGAAUUUGGAGUUUGAUUUUGGUGCAUGGUAACUCACGGCUAAGAGGUUUCCUUAGGCCAUUUGGACUUUUAAUUUAUUUAAUAAUUGCAUAUUGGGUCACUUAAAUUACUAGAAGUAAAAUAGGCCUGUUAAUUUCUCUUGUUUUCACUUAGUUUAAUUAGUAGGUUGAGUUGUUUUUAUGUGUUUGAGUUAGUGUUACAUUUAAUUAUUUUUAACUGUGUUUGUUAAUUUGUUUGUAACAGUGUUUGAUGUUUGAAUGUUGUCUAAGGUUUUUAAUAGUGUUAGUUUAAUUACCAUCCUAGCUUAAUUUAAUUCAGUCGGCC